Long non-coding RNA from Bos taurus (domestic cattle), 871 nucleotides. The record is from Ensembl. NCBI's taxonomy places the organism in Eukaryota, Metazoa, Chordata, Mammalia, Artiodactyla, Bovidae.
CCCCAACCCCCUCCGAAUCCUAGGCCAGCCUGUCGCCAUUUUAACACAUUCAUGUUCUGCCUAAAGCAGCCGGAAUUGGUUUCUGUUGCUUAUAAGCGGGCGAGAGUCCCAGCUGACUCUCCAGGCCUCUGGGCUGACAUUCUAGAGACUUCCACCCCACUUCUUUUCAAAUGCCCUCUGCUGACCGAGGCCAGGAUAGACCCACUCCAUGGAGACAAACCAAGCACAACACAAGUCAAAUUAAAAGCAGAAAGCCUCCAAAUUUGGCGCCGGCCCAGCGUCCUGCCCUGACAGCUGGUCUUCCUCUAAGCCACUGGCGGUGGAGGGCGCCUGAAACAAGACCACCAAUCAGGGUAAACUUCCAGAGAAGCUCCACGUCAGCCUCCUGCAUGGCUGCUGGACCAGUCGAUUUGAGCUCAGCUACUUUAGUCACAAGGUUAUUUCCAAACAGGACUUCUAUUACUAGGAGCGAGGUGCAGGGAGCUUAGCAGCCUCUUCCAGCUUCCAAUCCACCUUGCAAUGAUUAACAAUCACCAUCGUCCCAUCCUAAUAACAAUUCCAAAACUAGCGGCCUGUUGAGGAGGGCUUGGAGUAACUGCACCAAAGCCAGGAAGUAGACCCUGACAGUCCCCACUGUCCCCAUAAGCCAGCCACAUGGCACAUACCUGGAGAAAGAGAAGUGGGAUUCUUCCUGUAAGGUUAUUUCUGGUCCAGAACAGAUCAUUCUUCAAAUGUUCUAACAUCCUGAGUGUGGGUGGAAGCGAUGCCUACUUAUGUCUUAUGGAAAAGAUGGCCUGUUUACCGAAAACUCCUCUAGCUGACUUGGGUGGUUGUAGGAAGGGCCAGCAGCCACUCAGGGGAAAACAGCAAA